This 1430-nucleotide long non-coding RNA is filed under the name Vitis vinifera (wine grape). RNAcentral describes it as "long non-coding RNA (VVIN_LNC008002)". Lineage: Eukaryota; Viridiplantae; Streptophyta; Magnoliopsida; Vitales; Vitaceae. The record is from RNAcentral.
AAGAAAACAUGUACGCUUGCAAGCUUGGUUAAAAUGUGUGAAAAUCAAUGAUACAUAUCAAGGUAGCUUAUUUAAAUCAAUGAUCAGGUUCAUAUUUAUUACGUCUUAGGUUUUAUUAGGUAAGUAGAGACUUAUGUUUUAAUUAGGUAAGUAGAGACUUAUGUUUUAAUUAUUCUUGUUGGUAUUAUCCUUUAUUCGUAAAAGCUAGAAUUCAUAUUUGUAUGUCUAUCAUCUUCUGAAAUACAUUCAUAUUGUUUGGUGGAAGUUUGAUGUAUAUUUUUGAAUUUACUUUGAUUAGUUUUCUUAAGACUUUUGUUGUGCUUAGGAGAGAAUUUGAUUAAUGUGCUUCUAAAGGAUUGUGGACUAUGUUGCAUGGGUUGGGGUAUGAGUGUCAAGUGCAGGUGUUUGUCUAAUUGUUCAAUCCUUCAUAACUCAAAUUUUAGGUUGUGAAGACUUGGCUAAAAAUGAUCCUAAAAAGGGGCAUGGACACCUUUUCCCUCUAAAAAAAAAUCAAUUAAAAUAAAUUGACAUGAAAAUAAAUUGACAAUGAAAAUAAAUUGACAAUGAAAAUAUCCUAUUUAAAAGCUCCCACCUUAAGGUACCCUAGGUACUACCUUAGCUAAACAUGAACUCAACCUCUCCCAAGCCUUGGGUCUUCCUUUGUGACCCUUAGAGCAUCCCAUUAUGUGGUUCUCUUGAGUGCUCAGGUGGUCCACCAAUGGUUUUUUGGGACUGUACCUUAGGUACACCUUAAUGACCUUUAAGUAUUACCUUAAGAGACCCUAGGUACUACCUUAACUAAACUUGAACUCAACCUCUCCCAAGCCUCGGGCUUUCCUUUGUGAGCCUUAGAGCAUCUCAUUAUGUGGUUCUCUUGAGUGCUCAAGUGGUCCACCAAAGGUUUUUUGCAAUUGUACCUUAGGUACUACCUUAAGAGCCCUUAGGUACUACCUUAAUGGCCUUUAGGUACUACCUUAAGGGACCCUAGGUACUACCUUAGCUAAACAUGAACUCAACCUCUCCCAAGCCUCGGGUCUUCCUUUGUGACCCUUAGAGCAUCCCAUUAUGCGGUUCUCUUGAGUGCUCAAGAGGUUCAUCAAAGGUUUUUUGGGACUGUACCUUAAGUACUACCUUAAGGGCCCUUAGGUACUACCUUAAUGACCUUUAGGUACUAGCUUAAGGGACCCUAGGUACUACCUUAAGGUAAACAUGAACUCAACCUCUCCCAAGCCUCGGGCCUUCUUUUGUGACCCUUAAAGCAUCCCAUUAUGUGGUUCUCUUGAGUGCUCAAGUGGUCUACCAAUGGUUUUUUGGGACUGUACCUUAGGUACUACCUUAAGGGCCCUUAGGUACUACCUUAAUGGCCCUUAGGUACUACCUUAAGGGACCCUAGUUAUUACCUUAGCUAAACAUGAACUCAACCUCUCCCA